RNAcentral lists this ribosomal RNA (468 nucleotides) under uncultured bacterium. Its description in RNAcentral is "partial 16S ribosomal RNA". It matches the Rfam family "Bacterial small subunit ribosomal RNA", at positions 28 to 507 of the family's 1533-position model. The record is from RNAcentral.
GACGAACGCUGGCGGCGUGCUUAACACAUGCAAGUCGAACGGAAAGGCCCUGCUUUUGUGGGGUGCUCGAGCGGCGAACGGGUGAGUAACACGUGAGUAACCUGCCCUUGACUUUGGGAUAACUUCAGGAAACUGGGGCUAAUACCGGAUAGGAGCUCCUGCUGCAUGGUGGGGGUUGGAAAGUUUCGGCGGUUGGGGAUGGACUCGCGGCUUAUCAGCUUGUUGGUGGGGUAGUGGCUUACCAAGGCUUUGACGGGUAGCCGGCCUGAGAGGGUGACCGGCCACAUUGGGACUGAGAUACGGCCCAGACUCCUACGGGAGGCAGCAGUGGAGAAUAUUGCACAAUGGGCGGAAGCCUGAUGCAGCAACGCCGCGUGCGGGAUGACGGCCUUCGGGUUGUAAACCGCUUUCGCAUGUGACGAAGCGUGAGUGACGGUAAUGGGUAAAGAAGCACCGGCUAACUACGUG